GCACGGAGUUAGCCGGUACUUCCUUUGGAGGUACCGUCACCCUCGGCAAGCCGAGUAUUCGUUCCUCCCGACAGUGGUUUAUAACCCGAAGGCCGUCAUCCCACACGCGGCGUCGCUGCGUCAGCCUUGCGGCCAUUGCGCAAGAUUCCCCACUGCUGCCUCCCGUAGGAGUCUGGGCCGUGUCUCAGUCCCAAUGUGGCUGGCCAUCCUCUCAGACCAGCUACCCGUCGUCGCCUUGGUGGGCCGUUACCCCGCCAACUAGCUGAUAGGCCGCGAGACUCUCCGCCGGCGCCCGAAGGCUUUCAUCAUUCAGGGAUGCCCCUAAAUGAUCGUACGCGGUAUUAACCGGCCGUUGGGCCGGCUAUCCCCCACCGAUGGACAAGUUUCUCACGUGUUACGCACCCGUCUGCCACUGAACUGGAGAGUUGCCCCCCCAGUCCCGUUCGACUUACAUGUGUUAGGCACGCCGCCAGCGUUCGUC
Molecule: ribosomal RNA, 481 nt
Filed under: uncultured bacterium
Lineage: Bacteria
Description: partial 16S rRNA
Source: RNAcentral